RNAcentral lists this ribosomal RNA (530 nucleotides) under uncultured bacterium. RNAcentral's name for it is "bacterial SSU rRNA". It matches the Rfam family "Bacterial small subunit ribosomal RNA", at positions 777 to 1304 of the family's 1533-position model. The record is from RNAcentral.
AAUAGAUACUCGGGUAGUCCACGCCGUAAACGAUGAGUGCUAAGUGUUAGAGGGUUUCCGCCCUUUAGUGCUGCAGCUAACGCAUUAAGCACUCCGCCUGGGGAGUACGGUCGCAAGACCGAAACUCAAAGGAAUUGACGGGGGCCCGCACAAGCGGUGGAGCAUGUGGUUUAAUUCGAAGCAACGCGAAGAACCUUACCAGGUCUUGACAUCCUCUGACAAUCCUAGAGAUAGGACUUUCCCCUUCGGGGGACAGAGUGACAGGUGGUGCAUGGUUGUCGUCAGCUCGUGUCGUGAGAUGUUGGGUUAAGUCCCGCAACGAGCGCAACCCUUGAUCUUAGUUGCCAGCAUUCAGUUGGGCACUCUAAGGUGACUGCCGGUGACAAACCGGAGGAAGGUGGGGAUGACGUCAAAUCAUCAUGCCCCUUAUGACCUGGGCUACACACGUGCUACAAUGGAUGGUACAAAGGGCUGCAAGACCGCGAGGUUUAGCCAAUCCCAUAAAACCCAUUCUCAGUUCGGAUUGCAGG